RNAcentral lists this transfer RNA (78 nucleotides) under Subdoligranulum sp. AM23-21AC. RNAcentral describes it as "tRNA-Lys". The record is from RNAcentral. Lineage: Bacteria; Bacillati; Bacillota; Clostridia; Eubacteriales; Oscillospiraceae.
GUUUUAAUUUGUUGCUGUAGUUGGAGCAGCUGACUCUUAAUCAGCGGGUCCCGGGUUCGAGUCCCUGUUGGUGCACCA